Molecule: unclassified non-coding RNA, 430 nt
Filed under: soil metagenome
Description: partial contains 5.8S ribosomal RNA, internal transcribed spacer 2, and large subunit ribosomal RNA
Rfam family: 5.8S ribosomal RNA (bases 1-120)
Source: RNAcentral
GAUGAAGAACGUAGCGAAAUGCGAUACGUAAUAUGAAUUGCAGAAUUCAGUGAAUCAUCGAAUCUUUGAACGCAUAUUGCGCUCUCUGGUAUUCCGGAGAGCAUGCUUGUUUGAGUAUCAGUAAACACCUCAACUCCCUUUUCUUUUUUGAAAUUGGAGCUGGACUUGAGUGAUCCCAACGCUUUCUUCCAAGAAAGUGGCGGGUUGCUUGAAAUGCCGGUGCAGCUGAACUUUUCUCUGAGCUAUAAGCAUAUCUAUUUAGUCUGCCUAAAAAACAGAUUAUUACCUUUGCUGCAGCUAACAUAAAGGAGACUAGUUCUUGUGCUGACUGAUGCAGGAUUCACAGAGACAGCUUCGGCUGACUUUGUAAACUCGAUCUCAAAUCAAGUAAGACUACCCGCUGAACUUAAGCAUAUCAAUAAGCGGAGGA